RNAcentral lists this ribosomal RNA (100 nucleotides) under Confertobasidium aff. olivaceoalbum TAA159923. Its description in RNAcentral is "partial 5.8S ribosomal RNA". It matches the Rfam family "5.8S ribosomal RNA", at positions 57 to 154 of the family's 154-position model. From Rfam's summary of the family: 5.8S ribosomal RNA (5.8S rRNA) is a component of the large subunit of the eukaryotic ribosome. It is transcribed by RNA polymerase I as part of the 45S precursor that also contains 18S and 28S rRNA. Lineage: Eukaryota; Fungi; Basidiomycota; Agaricomycetes; Russulales. The record is from RNAcentral.
GAUAACGUAAUGUGAAUUGCAGAAUUCAGUGAAUCAUCGAAUCUUUGAACGCACCUUGCACCCUUUGGUAUUCCGAAGGUACACCUGUUUGAGUGUCGUG